ACUUAGUAUUCGAGUUGGGGUCAGAACAGCAAAGAUUAUUUUCAGAUUCAGGGUUCCUGCAGGAUGUUCACCAGUAGACAGAUGUGGUUACAGGGAUCUAGAUUUACCUACCCUUUAUGUUAGAACAGGAACUAGCAAGGGUCAACCCUUGUGGCUUUGCGAGAGUAUGUAAUUCAACCUAAUUGAAAGGCAGAGUCCAUGUAACACUACUAAACCAGAAAAUGCGCUGUACCUGAUGAUCCGUGUGUGUGUGUCAGGGGAUGGGAAAAAAAAGUUAGAUAUGGAAAAGAGGAUCUUUGUGUUCAUACCUCUGGUGCAGUUUUCCUAGAACUCUUAGAGGCAGGCCCAGAAGUGGAAACAAGCCUGUCCUUGACUGUGCACACGUGCCUUAAACCAAGAGUGAUUUAAAGGAUGGUGCAGAGGCCGCCAUAAACUAGAGGGUGUGCAAAGGAAGUGUUUUCCUGAGGCUGAAGUCCUCUUCCCCAAGCUGUCUGUACAGAGAGGCCAUGGGUCACCCCUGGACUGACUGACCAGGCCUGGUGUCUGGCUGCCUGUGCUGACUUCAUCUUUGACCCGGAAAAAGCCACAUUUCCUCUUCAGGCCUCUGUGCCUUCUGCCCAGUGAGCUGGUUGGACCCUGUGAACUUUCAGGCAGCAUGGAGUUUCUUAGGCUGGGUGACUCCUCACUGCAUAAUGACCCCGUGGCUCAAGCAGGUGAAGGUCGUCUACAGCCAUUGUUGUUUAGUCGUUAAGUCAUGUCCAAUUCUUUGUGACCCCAUGGACUGAAGCCAGCCAGGCUUCUCUGUCCAUGGGAUUCUCCAGGCAAAAAUACUGGAGUGGGUUGACAUUUCCUCCUCCAAGGGAUCUUUCCAACUCAGGGAUCGAACCCUUGUCUCCUGCACUGGCAGGCAGAUUCAUUACCACAGAGGCACCAGGGGCGGUGCUGAGCUUCAGUAGGUCAGGUGCAUCCUCGCUGUUCGACGACUCCGCCUGGUUGGAGCAGGUGAGAGUCAUCCACAGUCGAGCUGCAGGCUUUCCUUGGUGGAUCUGAACUCACACACUCUCCAGUCCAUAGCCGAAGCUGCAGCUCUCAAAGGCAUCAGGCUCAGGAGGAGAGUGUUAGCAAUGGAAACCACCAAUAUGCCAGAGGAGCCUAGUUUGAGAAUCACUAUGGAAAGCAACAUUCCUGUGUGUCUUCUCUAAUUAACAGAAAACUUACAGGAUGAGUAACACUCUUCAGUGAUCACUGAAAGAAUGGGAAUUUGAGAAAAUAUUCAUUUGCUGUCUGACUUCUCCAUCCAUUUCUUCAUUUAUUCAACACAAUUGAUCUGGCACCUUCAGUAAUGCUUACAUCAAUAUUCUGACAGACACCAUGACAAGUGUCCACUCUAAGAUCCCCAUCGAAUGGAGGAAACAGAUAUAUGUUCAAAAAUUAGUGGCAUAAGAGCUAUCAUCAAGACAUCCUUAUGGUCUGAUGGAGAUCAGAGGAAAAGCUGUUAAUAGCCUGGGAUUGUCAUGGAAGGCUUCUUGGAGGAGAUGAUGGUGACUGAGCUUAUCUUGAUGGGAUGAAGCAAAAGGGGGUCAGCUUGGAGCCAAGUAAGAAAAAGAUGCUCCCUCUCUGACUUUAAACAUACCUGCGCAGUGAGUGUGCCACAUUUCAAAAAUGAGAACUGAUGAAGCAGGAAGAAAAGGCGGAUUGGAAUCUGAAUGCAUUAGUAGCGGUCUCUUGUGAGAGUUGGCUGGAAAGCGCUCAGGGCAUCCUGCAUAGGGCUGUCUGCCGAAUUGACUUGGCCUGUGUCCUUUCCCUUCCCAACUCUGCUCCCUUCAUAUGUCCUAAUAGGUUAUGGCUUCCAGGAGGAAAUAUGCUGUGCAUUUUCAGAGAGGCAUUUUGGAAACACAAAGCCUGACAUCAAAGGAGUAGUUUGUUCUUUCUAGGAAAAAAAAAAGUAAAAUGUUGCUAUAAAAAGUAAUAAAGUCUAAAGUAGAAAGUACAAGUCCCUUGAUUAGUUUAUUUAUUUAUUUAUUUAUUACCUUUUAGAAAAUCUCCAAUGCAAUCAAAUUACACCUGCUUUGUAAUUUUUUCCUACUUUCCAUUUCUUAGAUUUCUUAAAAAGUGAGUCAGUAGCAAUGCCUUAAUGUUGUAUUUUGUCGUAAGUAUUUAAUAAUAAUAAGGAGGCUAAGAAUGAGGAUAUUUUUAAGAUCAUGGUUUGGUUUAGAGAAUUGGAAUACAGGCCCUCCUUCCCCUAAAUCUGUUUCUCUUCUGCAUUUUCCCAUCUCGGUAAAUGGCAUCACUUACUAACGGCCUUGGUGCCGAAACCUAGCACCUGGCUUCCUUCCUGCUUCCCUCACCCCACACCCGUCC
This is a long non-coding RNA of Bos taurus (domestic cattle), 2361 nucleotides long. The record is from Ensembl. Lineage: Eukaryota; Metazoa; Chordata; Mammalia; Artiodactyla; Bovidae.